Long non-coding RNA from Oncorhynchus tshawytscha (Chinook salmon), 650 nucleotides. The record is from Ensembl. NCBI's taxonomy places the organism in Eukaryota, Metazoa, Chordata, Actinopteri, Salmoniformes, Salmonidae.
GGAGAGAGCUGCAUGAUACUGGAGGACAAGACACCAAGCCCCUCAAGGGACUCAGGCAGUUGGCUUUUCUCCUCUCCAGAGCACCAACUGAAACAAACCACUCAGCCAGAAUGAACAGAGCAGGACUAUGUUUCACUUUACUACUACUGGGGUGUGUACAUGGGGGGAAGCCCUCUCAAAAGGAUGUGGUGUUUAGUAGGGGCAUCCAGCUCUUUGUAGAAGGUUUGAACCCUUCUGAUCCAUCUGUACUCAUUCUCUCCUCAUUCGGGAGUGAUCCUGGUGCUUCACACACACCUACGCUGGUGUGUGUCCUCAGUGGUUUACACACACACCUGGUGGACAUCAUUUGGUGGAUCAACAACACCGUGGUUACCCCAGAGAACAAUGUUGUUUGGAGUUCCAGAGGAAGCAAUGGCAUGUACAUGGCUACUGGACUAUGGACUGUGUCUGGAAAGGACUGGAAGCCACAGAAUUACUACCAGUGUGGAACCAGACAUGAAGGAAAGCUUUAUAUAAAUGUAACACAGUCCUCACUUUGCAGGGAUUUUACUUAAUUACAAAUGUUUGUUGAUUUAUCAAAAAUGAUCUGUACUUGACAGCCUCCUUUGCAUUUAAUGUACAGUCUUUAAACGUAUUAAAAUAUGGAUGCA